RNAcentral lists this ribosomal RNA (465 nucleotides) under uncultured bacterium. RNAcentral describes it as "partial 16S ribosomal RNA". It matches the Rfam family "Bacterial small subunit ribosomal RNA", at positions 28 to 507 of the family's 1533-position model. The record is from RNAcentral.
GACGAACGCUGGCGGCGUGCUUAAUACAUGCCAGUCGAACGGAAAGGCCCUGCUUGCAGGGUACUCGAGUGGCGAACGGGUGAGUAACACGUGGGUGAAUUGCCCUGCACUUCGGGAUAAGCCUGGGAAAGAGGGUCUAACACCGGACAGGAGCCAUAUUUAGUGUGAUGGUUGGAAAGUUUUUUCGGUGUAGGAUGAGCUCGCGGCCUAUCAGCUUGUUGGUGGGGUAAUGGCCUACCAAGGCGGCGACGGGUAGCCGGCCUGAGAGGGUGGACGGCCACAUUGGGACUGAGGUGCGGCCCAGGCUCCGACGGGAGGCCGCAGGGGGGAAUAUUGCACAAUGGGCGCAAGCCUGGUGCAGCGACGCCGCGGGGGGUAUAACUGCCUUCGGGUUGUAAACUCAUUUCGCUAGGGACGAUGCUUUUUGUGACGGUACCUAGAUAAGAAGCACCGGCUAACUACGUG